This 253-nucleotide ribosomal RNA is filed under the name uncultured bacterium. RNAcentral's name for it is "partial 16S ribosomal RNA". It matches the Rfam family "Bacterial small subunit ribosomal RNA", at positions 524 to 776 of the family's 1533-position model. The record is from RNAcentral.
UACGUAGGGUGCGAGCGUUGUCCGGAAUUACUGGGCGUAAAGAGCUCGUAGGUGGUUUGUCGCGUUGUUCGUGAAAACUCACAACUCAAUUGUGGGCGUGCGGGCGAUACGGGCAGACUGGAGUACUGCAGGGGAGACUGGAAUUCCUGGUGUAGCGGUGGAAUGCGCAGAUAUCAGGAGGAACACCGGUGGCGAAGGCGGGUCUCUGGGCAGUAACUGACGCUGAGGAGCGAAAGCGUGGGGAGCGAAUGGG